UGCAAUUGUAGAAACUCAAAGGGCUCCUCUUCAAAAGGACGGGUGUCAUUUGCAGCUGGCGGCUGGACUGAAAAUUUUGCUUAGCAACCACUGAGCCAGCCACCGCUGCUCACUGAAAAGUGAAUGCUACUACUACUACUGCAAGUACAAAAUGUCAAAUUUCAGCAGGUUUCUGUUCACGAACGGCGUCCUAGUUCCUCCGGCCGACACACCCCCGGUUGCAACCUUGCUGCAAUCGUGUCCCGUUUGAUUUCAGGUGCAUAUACGACAACUCGUACUCACAAUAAUGGGGCGGAAAUCAUGUUUUGGCAAAGACAUUUAUCCAGGCUCUCAAAUUCUGUUAAAGUCCUCUUGAAUUCCAGGCCCGAACUUUUGUUUAAAGCUGGAGAAGAUAUGGUACCUUUUGUUAAAGUGUCAGAGAAAUCUUUGAAAUGGGAUCUCGUCAUUCGUGCUCUAGUCAAUGAUUCGAUGGGAAAAGCUUUGCCUUUUGUGCUGAAAGAGAGGAAAUGUGGGGAGGAAAUGUCGAUUACGACACUAGUGAGUGGAAAUUUGGAGUCUUUAAGGGAGAUUGAGGACGUCAAUGAGGAAAGACUGAAAGCAGUCUUUGAUGUUUAUUUGCAUUUUGGUGGCUAUGUUCCCCGUGUUUUUGGAAUCCAAGGGAAUGGUGCGCGUUUAGCUGUGGUGGGACGCGGUAGGGAUAUCGCUAAUGCAAAGUAUUCGGAUUGGGUGAGGCUUAGGAAGGAUUUGGAGAAGCUGAGGCCACCUUCAACUACUGAGCUUCUAUUGUCAAACAAUGGUGAUCACAUCUUAGAAGGAUGCCUAACGAAUUUCUUUGUUGUUUGUGGCAAGGAUGAAUGCGGAGAGAUUUAUGAGCAGAAUGAUUUCGACUAUGAAAGAUCUGUCGAAGUACAGACAGCUCCUGUUAGUGAAGGUGUGCUUCCUGGAGUUAUACGCCAAGUAAUAAUUGAGAUAUGCUUGAGGAAUGGGAUCCCGUUUAGAGAAGUUGCGCCAUCAUGGUCACAGCAUAACAUGUGGAGAGAAGCAUUCAUUACAAAUAGCUUGAGAAUUGUAGAACAUGUAGAGACAAUUCUAGUCCCAAGUUCAUGGAAAUCCAUGGAAUCAAAAACUUCAACGGAAAUAAGAUGGGAGGAGAAACAAUUUGAGGUCACUCCCGGGAGGGUAACAUCAAUAAUACAGAAGGAGGUAAUGGAAAAAGCAGGAUUUGAAGCAUACGCAGUUGCUUUAUACAAAGACUGAUACUCUUGCAUGGUCGAGGGAACAACGAUGAGGCAACAUAUUAAAAGCUAAGAACGCCUUUUAUAAUGGUUAUGAAAAGGCAGCAUACAUCUGUAAGCUGUGAGAGGGAAAUGGAGUAUCAGAAUUACCAUAUAUGAUGGUGGCCACUAUGAGAUUCAAUGCUUGACAAAUCUGAUGAAUACUGUGGUGUUAUGAUCUUCUCGACAGACAUGUACGAAUCAGAUGCCAUUUUGUGCAUGUUAUACUAUCUUAUGAUUUUAUGCAAUACUGAUGAAUAGGGUGGUCUAAUGAUCUUAGUACAUGUCUAGCUCUCUCCCUGUUUGUCAUUUUAGGGAGAUAUUAGAUUGAUGUACGAAGCAAAUGUCUCAAAAUUUUAAGACUCUGUGUAUUGUGCCAUCUGAAAACACAAACCGAACUAAGACAAUGGCCUCAAUAUCUCAAGAAAAUGGAUGCUCCAUGGACCAGAUUCCGGUUGACAUAUCGACUUUCCCAGUAAUACGAAUUGUUCUGCUCUGCUACAAAAUAGAUUCGGUUUCCAUUACAUAUUUCUGAUUGCGAGAUAGUGAGCCAUUUGUGGCUAUGAACAAUGCCUGGUCCUCGCCCAAACUAGUUGAACUCUUUCAAUCCUUAUACGACUUUAAGUUUGAUAGCUUCAACCGUGAAGUCACUUUUUUGAAGAUA
Coffea arabica (coffee) is the source of this 1938-nucleotide non-coding RNA. Lineage: Eukaryota; Viridiplantae; Streptophyta; Magnoliopsida; Gentianales; Rubiaceae. The record is from RefSeq and is a predicted model, not a curated record.